AUGGUAUAAUAAAAUCGGAGGCCACGACUGUUUACUAAAAACACAAUUCAGAGCAAUUAUUAAGAUAAUAGUAUUCUGAAUGAAAUUUGCUCAAUGCCAUUAAUAUNAGAGAGGUAAUUUUAAAGUUACUAAUCGAAAAUCUGGUUAAUAGCGGUCUUAACUAUGAGGAUCCUAAGGUAGCAAAAUAAAUUGGCCAUUAAAUGUGGUCUAGUAUCAAUAAUGUAACGAUGGUCUCACUGUCUCUACAACUUGCUCAGUGAAAUUGAAUUGCGAGUGCAGAUGCUCGCUGUCUUC
Molecule: ribosomal RNA, 294 nt
Filed under: Russuloid fungal sp. 7
Lineage: Eukaryota; Fungi; Basidiomycota; Agaricomycetes; Russulales; Russulaceae
Description: partial large subunit ribosomal RNA
Rfam family: Bacterial large subunit ribosomal RNA
Source: RNAcentral